Molecule: ribosomal RNA, 310 nt
Filed under: uncultured bacterium
Lineage: Bacteria
Description: bacterial SSU rRNA
Rfam family: Bacterial small subunit ribosomal RNA
Source: RNAcentral
AACGAACGCUGGCGGCGUGCCUAACACAUGCAAGUCGAGCGAGAAAAGGGGAGCAAUCCCCUGAGUACAGCGGCGCACGGGUGAGUAACACGUAGGUGAUCUCCCUCGAGCCCGGAAUAACCUACCGAAAGGUGGGCUAAUACCGGAUAUGACCACGGUAAGUUUCGGCUUCUGCGGUAGAAAGAUGGCCUCUACCUGUAAGCUAUCACUCAAGGAUGAGCCUGCGUGCCAUUAGCUAGUUGGUGAGGUAACGGCUCACCAAGGCUAUGAUGGCUAGCUGGUCUGAGAGGAUGGCCAGCCACACUGGGAC